Molecule: ribosomal RNA, 497 nt
Filed under: uncultured bacterium
Lineage: Bacteria
Description: partial 16S ribosomal RNA
Rfam family: Bacterial small subunit ribosomal RNA
Source: RNAcentral
GAUGAACGCUGGCGGCGUGCCUAAUACAUGCCAGUCGAGCGAACGGACGAGAAGCUUGCUUCUCUGAUGUUAGCGGCGGACGGGUGAGUAACACGUGGAUAACCUACCUAUAAGACUGGGAUAACUUCGGGAAACCGGCGCUAAUACCGGAUAAUAUUUUGAACCGCAUGGUUCAAAAGUGAAAGACGGUCUUGCUGUCACUUAUAGAUGGAUCCGCGCUGCAUUAGCUAGUUGGUAAGGUAACGGCUUACCAAGGCAACGAUGCAUAGCCGACCUGAGAGGGUGAUCGGCACAGCUGGAAAUGAGACACGGUCCAGACUCCUAAGGGAGGCAGCAGUAGGGAAUAUUCCGCAAUGGGCGAAAGACUGACGGAGCAACGACGCGUGAGUGGUGAAGGUCUUCGGAUCGUAAAACUCUGUUAUUAGGGAAGAACAUAUGUGUAAGUAACUGUGCACAUCUUGACGGUACCUAAUCAGAAAGCCACGGCUAACUACGUG